Molecule: ribosomal RNA, 492 nt
Filed under: uncultured bacterium
Lineage: Bacteria
Description: partial 16S ribosomal RNA
Rfam family: Bacterial small subunit ribosomal RNA
Source: RNAcentral
AGUGAACGCUGGCGGUAGGCCUAACACAUGCAAGUCGAACGGCAGCACAGUAAGAGCUCGCUCUUACGGGUGGCGAGUGGCGGACGGGUGAGGAAUACAUCGGCAUCUACUUUUUCGUGGGGGAUAACGUAGGGAAACUUACGCUAAUACCGCAUACGAUCUACGGGUGAAAGCAGGGGUUCUUCGCACCUUGCGUGAUUGAUUGAGCUGAUGUCGGAUUAGCUAGUUGGCGUGGUAAAGGCCCACCAAGGCGACGAUCCGUAGCUUGUCUGAGAGGAUGAUCAGCCACACUGGAACUGAGACACGGUCCAGACUCCUACGGGAGGCAGCAGUGGGGAAUAUUGGACAAUGGGCGCAAGCCUGAUCCAGCCAUACCGCGUGGGUGAAGAAGGCCUUCGGGUUGUAAAGCCCUUUUGUUGGGAAAGAAAAGCAGCAGGUUAAUACCCCGCUGUUCUGACGGUACCCAAAGAAUAAGCACCGGCUAACUUCGUG